CUUAUCAAUAUUAUUGCUGGAAUUAGUAUUGUUCAUUAGUCAUUUCACACACAAUAAUACGUUUUCAAAUUUAAUAAAACAUGUUUAUAGUAGGUGUAUGUCGAGUGUAUAAAAGAAAGUUCGGUCCUAGACAGUAUGGAAAUCGAUCAGAUACCGUUGUUGAAAAUGCUCUUAACAAAAUAAUUAAUUGUGAACUUUAAAUAUUAGCAGCAAGAAAACAAUAUAAAAUAACCCAUGAUAUAUUACACGACAGAUAUCAUGGUAAACAUGGUAAUAAACCGGGAGGCCAACCAUGAACCAAUAUGUAGUGAAUAUUUACUGAAGCUGAGGAAAAAGUAUUAUUGGCUACUAUUGCUAAAUGUAGUAAUUGAUGUUUCCUUUUAACCAUGACUGACUUCAGGUAACUAUUAAUAUCCUUGUUAAAUAUAAUCUAUAAAACACAAAAACUGUUUCUACUUAUGACCAUUAUAGAUUUUAAAAUCAUCCAACCCAACAUGCCCCAAACCAGUCUCAUUAGAAAGGCAAUAAUGCAAAGAUGGUUUUAGACCACUAAAACAACACAUUGAGCAUAUUCAGUCCAUUAAUGAAGUCGAUUUUUGACUUUUCCCAUUCAACAAUUUUCUCGAAUUUUAAUAUUUAUUUUUUUUAUAUAUUUUUUAUAGAUAUAGAUUAUUCACAAACUCACCAAAGAGUGGCAUUACUCACAAACAAAUUAAAAACAAAACUUGUGCAAUUUGUGCAUCACAUUUAAUUAUUUUGACCGCAUUGGUGCGAAGUUGGCACAUACUACUGACUGUCAACACAAAAACACUGAUCUGUCAUUCUCAUCAGAAAGUUUUAUCAUUUGUGUUUAUCACGUAGAUCAUGUCAAGUAAUCAAAUUAGGAAAUAUUAAAAACCUCAUAAAUUGUAUUAAAAAUAUUUGUUUUCAUGAAAUUUGGUGGUGAUUUUAAGUACUGUUAUCAAAAAUGCCACUGAAAAGAGCUGUUACUGGAAGAAAUGCACCAAAUGCUAAACGAAAGAGAACCAUAAGUGCAGCCGAAAUGCCUGAACAACAAGAAGUAUGUUUGGCGUCAAACCAACUGAAAUAUUAAUAAUCAGCUGAAACUCCUCAAUAGCAUAAAAAGUGGCUUGAAGGUAAUUUAUCAUGAACGGCUCAAUCGAUUUUCAGUUGGUUGCAUUCAAUAGUUAAUAAACUAGAUAAUAAUAAUAAAAAAUAAUACUUUUUUCAGAUUAGUGGCAGUUAUUUUUGGACAAAAUGGGUAUUGUCUAAACAUUUAAGGACAAUCUACCGGGUAAUGACUGGACUGAAAGUUUAUUUAAAAGAAAAAUUAUAUUUAUUAUAUGUUUAUUAUUUAUAAUUUUGUAUUUAAAAAUAUUAGAUACCAUAUAAUUAUGAUAAUUUAUUUUUAUAAAGUUAGUCAAUUAAAAAAAAAAAUAUUUUAUAUAUAUAUAAAAUUAUUUUAUUUAUUAUUAAUUUUAUUUUAUUUUAUUUUAUAUUCAUACCAUUACCAUUAAUUUAAAAUACAAAUAAAUGAUGGUACCAAAGUCAUCUUAAGUUGGUAUAACAUUGAUAGCUAUUUUAAAAAAGUAAUUUAAAAAAAAAAAACGAUUGUUGAAAAAAUUUAAUUAAAAUUUAAAGAUAGUAUUAAAUACAAACUUGAGGCAACAUAUUUAUUUUGAGAUUUGUAA
This 1691-nucleotide long non-coding RNA is filed under the name Cinara cedri. The record is from RNAcentral. Lineage: Eukaryota; Metazoa; Arthropoda; Insecta; Hemiptera; Aphididae.